AUUGAACGCUGGCGGCAGGCUCAACACAUGCAAGUCGAGCGGGGUGAUGGUGCUUGCACUAUCACUUAGCGGCGGACGGGUGAGUAAUGCUUAGGAAUCUGCCUAUUAGUGGGGGACAACAUCUCGAAAGGGAUGCUAAUACCGCAUACGUCCUACGGGAGAAAGCAGGGGAUCACUUGUGACCUUGCGCUAAUAGAUGAGCCUAGGUCGGAUUAGCUAGUUGGUGGGGUAAAGGCCUACCAAGGCGACGAUCUGUAGCGGGUCUGAGAGGAUGAUCCGCCACACUGGGACUGAGACACGGCCCAGACUCCUACGGGGGGCUGCAGUGGGGAAUAUUGGACAAUGGGGGGAACCCUGAUCCAGCCAUGCCGCGUGUGUGAAGAAGGCCUUAUGGUUGUAAAGCACUUUAAGCGAGGAGGAGGCUCUUUUGGUUAAUACCCAAGAUGAGUGGACGUUACUCGCAGAAUAAGCACCGGCUAACUCUGUGCCAGCAGCCGCCGCCG
This 503-nucleotide ribosomal RNA is filed under the name uncultured bacterium. RNAcentral's name for it is "partial 16S ribosomal RNA". It matches the Rfam family "Bacterial small subunit ribosomal RNA", at positions 30 to 523 of the family's 1533-position model. The record is from RNAcentral.